UCGAGAAUCUUUCGCAAUGCCCGAAAGGGUGACGAAGCGACGCCGCGUGCGGGAGGAAGGCCUUCGGGUUGUAAACCGCUGUCGGGAGUUAAGAAAUGCAAGGGUGUUAACAGCGUCCUUGCUUGACUAAGGCUCCGGAGGAAGCCACGGCUAACUCUGCGCCAGCAGCCGCGGUAAUACAGAGGCGGCAAGCGUUGUUCGGAAUUAUUGGGCGUAAAGAGCACGUAGGCGGCUGUGUAAGUCGGUUGUGAAAGCCUUCCGCUCAACGGAAGAAGCGCAUCCGAUACUGCAUAGCUCGAGUGCGGGAGGGGAGAGUGGAACUUCUGGUGGAGCGGUGAAAUGCGUAGAUAUCAGAAGGAACACCGGCGGCGAAGGCGACUCUCUGGUCCGUAACUGACGCUGAGUGUGCGAAAGCUAGGGGAGCAAACGGGAUUAGAUACCCUUGUAG
RNAcentral lists this ribosomal RNA (448 nucleotides) under uncultured bacterium. Its description in RNAcentral is "bacterial SSU rRNA". It matches the Rfam family "Bacterial small subunit ribosomal RNA", at positions 355 to 793 of the family's 1533-position model. The record is from RNAcentral.